This is a small nucleolar RNA of Scophthalmus maximus (turbot), 69 nucleotides long. Ensembl annotates it as small nucleolar RNA, C/D box 37. Its record names the gene SNORD37. The record is from Ensembl. Lineage: Eukaryota; Metazoa; Chordata; Actinopteri; Pleuronectiformes; Scophthalmidae.
GCACAUGAUGACUCUAAACAUUCUUCACUUUGACCUGAUUAAUUGGUGAUGAUGAUCUUCAGUCUGAGC